RNAcentral lists this ribosomal RNA (478 nucleotides) under uncultured bacterium. Its description in RNAcentral is "partial 16S ribosomal RNA". It matches the Rfam family "Bacterial small subunit ribosomal RNA", at positions 28 to 523 of the family's 1533-position model. The record is from RNAcentral.
GACGAACGCUGGCGGCGUGCUUAACACAUGCAAGUCGAGCGAUGAAGUUCCUUCGGGAACGGAUUAGCGGCGGACGGGUGAGUAACACGUGGGCAACCUGCCUCAUAGAGGGGAAUAGCCUUCCGAAAGGAAGAUUAAUACCGCAUAAGAUUGUAAUGCCGCAUGGCAUAGCAAUUAAAGGAGCAAUCCGCUAUGAGAUGGACCCGCGUCGCAUUAGCUAGUUGGUGAGGUAACGGCUCACCAAGGCGACGAUGCGUAGCCGACCUGAGAGGGUGAUCGGCCACAUUGGGACUGAGACACGGCCCAGACUCCUACGGGAGGCAGCAGUGGGGAAUAUUGCACAAUGGGGGAAACCCUGAUGCAGCAACGCCGCGUGAGUGAUGACGGUCUUCGGAUUGUAAAGCUCUGUCUUCAGGGACGAUAAUGACGGUACCUGAGGAGGAAGCCACGGCUAACUACGUGCCAGCAGCCGCCGUAA